Molecule: ribosomal RNA, 609 nt
Filed under: uncultured bacterium
Lineage: Bacteria
Description: bacterial SSU rRNA
Rfam family: Bacterial small subunit ribosomal RNA
Source: RNAcentral
AACGCGCAGCAUUCUGUAGCAAUACAGGGUGUGGGCGCGUGGCGAACGGGUGCGUAACACGUGGAUAACCUUCCUUCAGGUGGGGAAUAACCCAGUGAAAAUUGGGCUAAUACCGCAUAACAUUACGGGGGCACAUGCUCUUGUAUUCAAAGGCGCAAGUCGCCGGAAGAGGGAUCCGCGGCCGAUUAGCUUGUUGGCGAGGUAAUGGCUCACCAAGGCAUUGAUCGGUAGCCGGACUGAGAGGUUGGCCGGCCACACUGGAACUGAGACACGGUCCAGACUCCCACGGGAGGCAGCAGUGGGGAAUCUUGCGCAAUGGACGAAAGUCUGACGCAGCAACGCCGCGUGGGGGAUGAAGCUUCUCGGAGUGUAAACCCCUUUCGACCCGGACGAAUGCCCGCAAGGGUUUGACGGUACGGGUAUAAGAAGCCCCGGCUAACUACGUGCCAGCAGCCGCGGUAAAACGUAGGGGGCCAGCGUUGCUCGGAAUUACUGGGCGUAAAGGGUCCGUAGGCGGUGUGACAAGUCGGUAGUGAAAUCUCUGGGCUUAACCCAGAGGCUGCUGCCGAAACUGUUGUGCUAGAGUGUGAGAGAAGCGAGUGGAAUUAC